UGAGCAAUCUGCCCUUCUCUUCGGAAUAAGCGUGGGAAACCGCGUCUAAUGCCGAAUACGACCUCCUUUCGCAUGAUCGGAGGUGGAAAGCUCCGGCGGAGAAGGAUGAGCUCGCGGCCUAUCAGCUAGUUGGUGUGGGUAACGGCCCACCAAGGCGACGACGGGUAGCCGGCCUGAGAGGGUGACCGGCCACACUGGGACUGAGACACGGCCCAGACUCCUACGGGAGCAGCAGG
RNAcentral lists this ribosomal RNA (236 nucleotides) under uncultured bacterium. RNAcentral describes it as "partial 16S ribosomal RNA". It matches the Rfam family "Bacterial small subunit ribosomal RNA", at positions 118 to 354 of the family's 1533-position model. The record is from RNAcentral.